CUUGAGGCGUGAUGACGAGGCUCUUCGGAGCCGAAGCGAGUGAUACCCAGCUUCCAGGAAAAGCCUCUAAGCUUCAGUCUAAGAGUGACCGUACCGCAAACCGACACAGGUGGGCUGGUAGAGAAUACCAAGGCGCUUGAGAGAACUCAGGAGAAGGAACUCGGCAAAUUGAUACCGUAACUUCGGGAGAAGGUAUGCCCCUGGUACGUGAAGGCCCUCGCGGCCGGAGCGGAACGGGGUCGCGGAGAAUCGGUGGCUGCGACUGUUUAUUAAAAACACAGCACUCUGCAAACACGAAAGUGGACGUAUAGGGUGUGACGCCUGCCCGGUGCCGGAAGGUUAAGUGAUGGGGUGCAAGCUCUUGAUCGAAGCCCCGGUAAACGGCGGCCGUAACAAUAACGGUCCUAAGGUAGCGAAAUUCCUUGUCGGGUAAGUUCCGACCUGCACGAAUGGCGUAACGAUGGCCACACUGUCUCCUCCUGAGACUCAGCGAAGUUGAAAUGUUUGUGAAGAUGCAAUCUCCCCGCGGCUAGACGGAAAGACCCCAUGAACCUUUACUGUAGCUUUGCAUUGGACUUUGACGGGACUUGUGUAGGAUAGGUGGGAGGCUAUGAAACCGGGACGCCAGUUCCGGCGGAGCCAUCCUUGAAAUACCACCCUGGUGUCGUCGAGGUUCUAGCCCAGGCCUGUGAAUCCAGGUCGGGGACCGUGCAUGGUGGGCAGUUUGACUGGGGCGGUCUCCUCCCAAAAGGUAACGGAGGAGUACGAAGGUCACCUAGGUACGGUCGGACAUCGUACUGAUAGUGCAAUGGCAAAAGGUGGCUUGACUGCGAGACCCACACGUCGAGCAGGUGCGAAAGCAGGUCAUAGUGAUCCGGUGGUUCUGUAUGGAAGGGCCAUCGCUCAACGGAUAAAAGGUACUCUGGGGAUAACAGGCUGAUUCCGCCCAAGAGUUCACAUCGACGGCGGAGUUUGGCACCUCGAUGUCGGCUCAUCACAUCCUGGGGCUGUAGCCGGUCCCAAGGGUAUGGCUGUUCGCCAUUUAAAGUGGUACGUGAGCUGGGUUUAAAACGUCGUGAGACAGUUUGGUCCCUAUCUGCCGUGGGCGCUGGAAGUUUGAGAGGGCCUGCUCCUAGUACGAGAGGACCGGAGUGGACGCACCCCUGGUGUACCGGUUGUGACGCCAGUCGCAUCGCCGGGUAGCUAUGUGCGGAAGAGAUAACCGCUGAAAGCACCUAAGCGGGAAACUCGCCUCAAGAUGAGACUUCCCCGGGGCCUCGAGCCCCCUGAAGGGUCGUUGAAGACCACAACGUUGAUAGGCCGGGUGUGUAAGCGUGGCAACACGUUCAGCUAACCGGUACUAAUUGCCCGUGUGGCUUGAUCC
This 1384-nucleotide ribosomal RNA is filed under the name metagenome. RNAcentral describes it as "bacterial LSU rRNA". It matches the Rfam family "Bacterial large subunit ribosomal RNA", at positions 1555 to 2925 of the family's 2925-position model. The record is from RNAcentral.